Molecule: microRNA, 22 nt
Filed under: Mus musculus (house mouse)
Lineage: Eukaryota; Metazoa; Chordata; Mammalia; Rodentia; Muridae
Description: mmu-miR-3098-5p
Source: miRBase by way of RNAcentral
UCCUAACAGCAGGAGUAGGAGC